RNAcentral lists this ribosomal RNA (327 nucleotides) under uncultured eukaryote. RNAcentral's name for it is "partial 18S ribosomal RNA". It matches the Rfam family "Eukaryotic small subunit ribosomal RNA", at positions 1470 to 1796 of the family's 1831-position model. The record is from RNAcentral.
CCCUUAGAUGUCCGGGGCCGCACGCGCGCUACAAUGGAUGAAUCAACGCGUCAUCCUGGCCCGAAAGGGUUGGGGAACCGCUGAACCUCAUCCGUGGUUGGGAUUGGGGUUUGUAAUUAUUCCCCAUGAACUAGGAAUUCCCAGUAAGCGCGAGUCAUAAGCUCGCGUUGAUUACGUCCCUGCCCUUUGUACACACCACCCGUCGCUACUACCGAUUGGAUGGUUUAGUGAGAUCCUCGGAUUGGUCACGGCACGGUGGCAACACUGCGUCGGUGUGCCGAGAAGACGAUCAAACUUGAUCAUCUAGAGGAAGUAAAAGUCGUAACA